Molecule: unclassified non-coding RNA, 330 nt
Filed under: soil metagenome
Description: partial contains 5.8S ribosomal RNA, internal transcribed spacer 2, and large subunit ribosomal RNA
Rfam family: 5.8S ribosomal RNA (bases 1-120)
Source: RNAcentral
GAUGAAGAACGCAGCGAAAUGCGAUAAGUAAUGUGAAUUGCAGAAUUCAGUGAAUCAUCGAAUCUUUGAACGCACAUUGCGACCUCUGGUAUUCCGGGGGGCAUGCCUGUUCGAGCGUCAUUACAACCCUCAAGCUUUGCUUGGUAUUGGACAUUGCCAGUUUCUGGCAGGUCUUAAAAUCAGUGGCGGUGCCAUUUGGCUUCAAGCGUAGUAAUUCUUCUCGCUUUGGAGAUCCAAGUGGUUACUUGCCAAUAACCCCCAAUUUUUUCAGGUUGACCUCGGAUCAGGUAGGGAUACCCGCUGAACUUAAGCAUAUCAAUAAGCGGAGGA